This 253-nucleotide ribosomal RNA is filed under the name uncultured bacterium. Its description in RNAcentral is "partial 16S ribosomal RNA". It matches the Rfam family "Bacterial small subunit ribosomal RNA", at positions 524 to 776 of the family's 1533-position model. The record is from RNAcentral.
UACGUAGGGUGCGAGCGUUGUCCGGAAUUACUGGGCGUAAAGAGCUCGUAGGUGGUUUGUCGCGUUGUUCGUGAAAUUCCCUGGCUUAACUGGGGGCGUGCGGGCGAUACGGGCAGACUGGAGUACUGCAGGGGAGACUGGAAUUCCUGGUGUAGCGGUGGAAUGCGCAGAUAUCAGGAAGAACACCAAUGGCGAAGGCAGCUCUCUGGGACGGUACUGACGCUGAGACGCGAAAGCGUGGGGAGCGAACAGG